This is a long non-coding RNA of Drosophila simulans, 3623 nucleotides long. RefSeq lists it as uncharacterized. The transcript is spliced from 5 exons. The record is from RefSeq and is a predicted model, not a curated record. NCBI's taxonomy places the organism in Eukaryota, Metazoa, Arthropoda, Insecta, Diptera, Drosophilidae.
GCGAACUAUCUUGACCAGUAAAAUGUUCUUGAAAGCACAACCUGAACUGAAAUGUUUGUCACGCUCUCAUCCCCAUCGAAACCAGGAACACAAAGCACAUUGCAGAUACAGAUACAGAUACAAAUACAGAUAGAGAUGCGGAUGCCCAGUGAUAAGGAAAGACAGCGACGAUCUCAAUCUCGCAGCGACCACGGGGAUCUCUGAAAAGGGUCGUCAUAUAUGAAGUGAGCACCUCGGGCAGCCCAACAACCACCGAAAUAAAAGCAGAGAACUCUGUAAGGGGUCGGGCAGUUUAUGCUUUUUUAGUAUUCUUCAGUUUCGUCGAGUAUCUAUAUAUACAUAUUUAUGCUGUUCGUAUUUGGGGAACCUUCGAAAUGAAUGUCCAAAAUGAGUGGUAGAGAGGUUGGCGGUUGAGGACGAGACGACAGCCGCAUUUGGAAACAGACAACGCAAAUCAAAUAGUAAAAGUGUUAAAGGCUGACACAUUCAAGUGUUUGACGCGUCCCCACCAAAAAAUUAUGUGGCGGCUUGACUCCAUGCCAGUUGGCUACUGUUUCGCCUUGGCACGCACACACACACACACAGGGAAUGGGAGCCCUGGGAUCGUUUUGGAUGCGGGGACUUGGACUUAAUGGAUCCGCGAACCUGAAUCUCUGGAGGGAAAUUGGCAACAACAGCUGCGGAUGCUGGCGAAUCAAUUAGCCUGCCAUAUAACAUUGGAGACGGCGAACAUUUUAUGCAAAAUCGGACACGACUUUGCACUAAAAAUGAAGCGAUCCCGCAGAGAAACUUUGACCAGGCUGGCCAAAAAGGGAGGAGCACUAUAAACAUCACUACUGAUCUUGAAAGUUCGCCAUUUACAUAAGAAAUUUAAGGAGGUAAAAGAGUUGGACAAACAAUAUACUUAAUGGCAGAAUGAAAUAUAUAAUAUACUUAAGCCAAACUUAACCAUUCAUAAUAAAAACUAAUCCUCUGUAAGCUAGAGACUCUUUAGCAAUGUCGAAUGUUACUUCCUGAGGCAGUUCUUCUUUGAAGAGACUCAAGGAGACUGUCAAUGCAUAUGCAGAUAUAUGAACACUGUCAGUCAUCUUGCAGUUUGGCGCAGACAUUGCAGACAUUCAGUCCAGCGGAGCUGGCCAGCUCCGCUUGCCGCCGCAGGAAGAUGCUGGCCAGCCCGGAGUCAGCCAUCCCAAGUUGCCAGCCAGCAAAGCGCGAAAUUUCUCGUACGUGUGCGAUGGUCCCGGCAUCGGCGGAAUGGAGUCAAGGAAGUCAAGAGGAACUGUGGAGAAUUGCGAAAUAUUCUGCGGCGUUGUUAUCGCCGCCUUUGGAUCGCUAAGGUUGAGGCUCCGCAAGCGGAAUGCGACGCACAAUUAAUCAUAUCUGAAUAUAUUGCGCCCUUUGGUGGUAUAAAUCUUGCUGGGCUUUAAGUCCAGCUCACUCUCUCUCUCUCGGAGGAAACUUAACAAAAUAAUAAAAAAUGAAACGAGAAGAAAAUAAAAAAUAAGAACUGCGCAUUUAAGCGCUUCACGCGCAUGCGCAACCAAUCGCUUGAUUAGUUCCCAAACUCGAGGCUCAGGGAUUAGCUCAUAAAAAAUAAAGUGAACAGGAAAUAAGCUUAGGAGGUAAUGGCAUCCGAAUGGUGCGGAUCAACAUUCCAUCCGUCUGGGCCAGCUUAUUAUAGCUCGUAAUGAGCGUUCCCAGCUGCAUUUCUGCAGCCCAUUUGCCAAUUAAAUGAAAUUAAAGUCAUAUCUGGCAAUUGCUCUCGCUCGACGCGUCUUGCCUUCUGGGACUGAUGAGGUGUCGCCAGUGGGACGCGUAAUUAACCCCAUGGAUACUGGUCUCUAUGCCACAUCCAAAGACCAGAGCAGCAGCAGACUCUUCUAAUUAAAUUGUGCUGGCUACUUUUUAAUUAAGUACACACUGGCAGGCAUCCAACAUUUAUAGAACUGCCACAUGGGAUCGGUGGUAAUAUAAGGGCCUGACGAAUGCUAGAAUCAAAUCAAGGAAAGUCUACGUAGUUAAUUAAAGCAGUAUUGCGAAUAUUUUUGAUAAGCAAACUGCCUUCAUAAGUUGCGAGAUUAUUUUCGCAAUGAGUACUCCCGCCAUUUAAACCAUCUUUAAACUGCUCGACUGCAGAUUUAAGCUUAAUAAAUAAUAGUUUUCCGCACAAGUUGCCCCAUUGUGUCCGCUCUGCUUGGGGGCAAUUCCGAGUUGAUUCAGUGCAUCAUAAGCAGGGACAAUGUUAUUGACGUUGUGGAACCGAUGUGGUCUCUCCUGGGCAGCCGCAGCCCAGAAAGAAGACCGCAAUUAAGUGCAUAUAAAUUUCGCAAUUUUACGAUCUUCGCUCUUAUAAAAAUGCUCACUCUAUGGCCACAGUUACAGUCACAGCUGCCAAAGGAGCACCCAAAAGACCAGGUCUCAAAGGCAUUAAAUGCGGCGAUUUAUGUCCACGUGUUCGAACUGGCGGAAAAUAUGAGCAAAAUGCAUUCGUGACCGAAACGAGGAUGCCCGCUGUUUUUCUAUUGCUAAUUAGCCGUGACAUUGUUUAGCUACGGGCCAUGAACUUUUUCACAAAAACGCGACUAGACAAGUGUUACUACUAAGAGACCAAAAAACUUUAAGCAACAGAACAUAUUUUAGAUUGUAGUAGUAGUAUUCUACCAUUUCCUCCUCUUUUUUUGUGUGCAAAACCGGAUUAAAAACCCUUGGCAAAUAUGCCCUUCCACGGGGCUUAUCUUAAUUUUUGCAUUUAAUAACCGCAUUGCGGCUGAAACGAGCCGGCAAACUGCCACCGGUCAGUCAGUUGGGCAGCGAUCGCAACGGGCGGCCAUUUAGCUUAAUAUGGCCAAGUAAAUUCUUGGCCAACUAUCCGGAGGUGUGAAGAAAAGUGUCGACUUGUUAAGCUGCGGCCACAGCGGGCCCAGACAGAUAGCCACCACCACCACCAGAGCUCUGGACAGGAUCGCCUGAGUUGCGAGCGCAUUUCUCGGAAACAACGCGCUCGAUUCGUGGAAGCAAUAAAUAAGAAGCUUUAUUCCCUUUUUUUCCGGCACAAGGACGACAUGGCGAAAAAAGGGCCGACGGACCAACACCACCGCCCUGUCGCACUCAAUUAGCGAACGCGAACGCGAGUCGCGCGCGUUUUUGGCGCGGCGAAAUCCGUUUGAUUUUCAUCUUGGCCAACUUAACGAUCGGCGUGCGGUUUUCUUGUUGAAGCAAAUUAACUAGACUGGUCUAGAGAUUAUCAACACCCAGCUACUCCUUUCCGCUGGCUGUCAACACUCAGCAUUGUCUUUGCGAAUGAAAUCCAGACGAACAAUGGCUGGAAAAUAAUAUACAAGUUGCCUAUAAAGUGCCUGCUUAAGCUUUGAUGAGCUUAGAGCCAUAAACAACAUAAUGGUAGCUGCUCUAUAAAACAAAAUACGUGGCCAAGUGGAAUAGAGCUGAAAUUAAACUCCCCCCAUUCGAGCCAAUUCAAUUUGGGGAUUCCAACGAACUCUGUGUACACUUUAUGGGCAAAAGUCAUUCAAAGCGGUUGUUAAAACCGAAAUUUGUUUUCUUAAUUAGUUCGGGCAGCUAAAAUUUAAUUAAAUUUAAAGUGGGAGCGAAUAAUGCAGCAGAUU